CAAGUUGGCUGGGUGGUCGCGCUACGGUUUCGGCCGUGGUGAGGAAAGUCCGCACUCCACAGAGCACGGUGCUAGCUAACAGCUAGGCGGGGCGACCCGACGGCAAGUGCAACAGAGAACGAAUUGCAACGGCCGCAAGGCUAGUUGUGAGGGUGAAAAGGUGGUGUAAGAGACCACCAGCAGGGGCAGUGAUGUCGCUGGCUAGGCAAACCCCACCGGGAGCAAGGUCAAGCAGAGUGUUAGGGCGGCUCGCUCAAUAGCACUCGGGUAGACUGCAUGAGGCGGCCGGCGACGGCCGUCCCAGAUAGAUGAUCACCACCACCGCAAGGUGGCACAGAAUGCGGCUUAUAGGCCAACUUGAGGA
RNAcentral lists this RNase P RNA (364 nucleotides) under Candidatus Hadersleviella danica. RNAcentral describes it as "RNase P RNA component class A". It matches the Rfam family "Bacterial RNase P class A". Rfam says of the family: Ribonuclease P (RNase P) is a ubiquitous endoribonuclease, found in archaea, bacteria and eukarya as well as chloroplasts and mitochondria. Lineage: Bacteria; Bacillati; Chloroflexota; Ardenticatenia; Promineifilales (SeqCode); Promineifilaceae (SeqCode). The record is from RNAcentral.